UACGAAGGGGGCUAGCGUUGCUCGGAAUGACUGGGCGUAAAGGGCGCGUAGGCGGUUUGCAUAGUCAGACGUGAAAUUCCUGGGCUUAACCUGGGGGCUGCGUUUGAUACGUGCGGACUUGAGUGGGGAAGAGGGUCGUGGAAUUCCCAGUGUAGAGGUGAAAUUCGUAGAUAUUGGGAAGAACACCGGUGGCGAAGGCGGCGACCUGGUCCUUGACUGACGCUGAGGCGCGAAAGCGUGGGGAGCAAACAGG
Molecule: ribosomal RNA, 253 nt
Filed under: uncultured bacterium
Lineage: Bacteria
Description: partial 16S ribosomal RNA
Rfam family: Bacterial small subunit ribosomal RNA
Source: RNAcentral